CAUGUUGAAACUCUGGUUCUCAUAUGAUUAUUGAAGUUAAGCAACGUUAAACCUCGGUAGUACAUUGAUGGGUGACCGCUUAGGAAUACCAAGUGCUGUAAG
Molecule: non-coding RNA, 102 nt
Organism: Acanthosepion pharaonis
Lineage: Eukaryota; Metazoa; Mollusca; Cephalopoda; Sepiida; Sepiidae
Source: the annotation of a GenBank genome assembly